Macrobrachium nipponense is the source of this 329-nucleotide long non-coding RNA. RefSeq lists it as uncharacterized. NCBI's taxonomy places the organism in Eukaryota, Metazoa, Arthropoda, Malacostraca, Decapoda, Palaemonidae. The transcript has 3 exons. The record is from RefSeq and is a predicted model, not a curated record.
CGAAUAGCAACAACAGGUUUGUAAAGGCCACGGUUUCCAAGGGUGCAUUAUUGCUUUAUGCUUUUGUUCCUCAAUCCAGAGCUUCAAUUAUUCAAGAUUACUGCGAUCUACGAUCAAAUUAUCAUCUGUGAAGCGUGCUUCAGGAAGUUCCACACUCACAAUUAGUUAUCAAAGAUGGCAGCAUCAAAACUGCGAUUGGCACUCAUCCAGCUAAGUGUAGGCAUGAAGAAAGCAGAGAACAUAUCAAGGGCUCUUCAGAAAGUAAAGGAAGCUGCAGGAAAUGGUGCUGAAGUCGUGGCUCUUCCAGAGUGUUUCAACUCCCCAUAUGG